GGGUUGUGAGGUUAAGCGACUAAGCGUACACGGUGGAUGCCCUGGCAGUCAGAGGCGAUGAAGGGCGUGCUAAUCUGCGAUAAGCGCCGGUAAGGUGAUAUGAACCGUUAUAACCGGCGAUACCCGAAUGGGGAAACCCAGUGUGAUUCGUCACACUAUCAUUAACUGAAUCCAUAGGUUAAUGAGGCGAACCGGGGGAACUGAAACAUCUAAGUACCCCGAGGAAAAGAAAUCAACCGAGAUUCCCCCAGUAGCGGCGAGCGAACGGGGAGGAGCCCAGAGCCUGAAUCAGCAUGUGUGUUAGUGGAAGCGUCUGGAAAGGCGCGCGAUACAGGGUGACAGCCCCGUACACAAAAGCGCAUGUGUUGUGAGCUCGAUGAGUAGGGCGGGACACGUGGUAUCCUGUCUGAAUAUGGGGGGACCAUCCUCCAAGGCUAAAUACUCCUGACUGACCGAUAGUGAACCAGUACCGUGAGGGAAAGGCGAAAAGAACCCCGGCGAGGGGAGUGAAAAAGAACCUGAAACCGUGUACGUACAAGCAGUGGGAGCACCCUGUGUGACUGCGUACCUUUUGUAUAAUGGGUCAGCGACUUAUAUUCUGUAGCAAGGUUAACCGUAUAGGGGAGCCGGAGGGAAACCGAGUCUUAACCGGGCGUUAAGUUGCAGGGUAUAGACCCGAAACCCGGUGAUCUAGCCAUGGGCAGGUUGAAGGUUGGGUAACACUAACUGGAGGACCGAACCGACUAAUGUUGAAAAAUUAGCGGAUGACCUGUGGCUGGGGGUGAAAGGCCAAUCAAACCGGGAGAUAGCUGGUUCUCCCCGAAAGCUAUUUAGGUAGCGCCUCGUGAAUUCAUCUCCGGGGGUAGAGCACUGUUUCGGCUAGGGGGCCAUCCCGGCUUACCAACCCGAUGCAAACUGCGAAUACCGGAGAAUGUUAUCACGGGAGACACACGGCGGGUGCUAACGUCCGUCGUGAAGAGGGAAACAACCCAGACCGCCAGCUAAGGUCCCAAAGUCAUGGUUAAGUGGGAAACGAUGUGGGAAGGCCCAGACAGCCAGGAUGUUGGCUUAGAAGCAGCCAUCAUUUAAAGAAAGCGUAAUAGCUCACUGGUCGAGUCGGCCUGCGCGGAAGAUGUAACGGGGCUAAACCAUGCACCGAAGCUGCGGCAGCGAACGUAUCACUUAAAGCGAUUCAGCGGGUUACGAUUGACGGAGCGAAGCGACGUCAAAGCGUAUACAAAGUCGAGUCGGUUUAAGGAUACGUUCGUUGGGUAGGGGAGCGUUCUGUAAGCCUGUGAAGGUGUGUCGUGAGGCAUGCUGGAGGUAUCAGAAGUGCGAAUGCUGACAUAAGUAACGAUAAAGCGGGUGAAAAGCCCGCUCGCCGGAAGACCAA
Molecule: ribosomal RNA, 1393 nt
Filed under: Salmonella enterica subsp. enterica serovar Newport
Lineage: Bacteria; Pseudomonadati; Pseudomonadota; Gammaproteobacteria; Enterobacterales; Enterobacteriaceae
Description: partial 23S ribosomal RNA
Rfam family: Bacterial large subunit ribosomal RNA
Source: RNAcentral